Molecule: ribosomal RNA, 253 nt
Filed under: uncultured bacterium
Lineage: Bacteria
Description: partial 16S ribosomal RNA
Rfam family: Bacterial small subunit ribosomal RNA
Source: RNAcentral
GACGAACCGUGCGAACGUUGUUCGGAAUCACUGGGCUUAAAGGGCGCGUAGGCGGGCUUGCAAGUCUGCGGUGAAAGCCUCCAGCUUAACUGGAGAAGUGCCGUGGAUACUGCGAGCCUCGAGGAGGGUAGGGGCGUCUGGAACGUUGGGUGCAGCGGUGAAAUGCGUUGAUAUCCAACGGAACUCCGGUGGCGAAGGCGAGGCGCUGGACCCUUUCUGACGCUGAGGCGCGAAAGCCAGGGGAGCGAACGGG